GACGAACGCUGGCGGCGUGCUUAACACAUGCAAGUCGAACGGAAAGGCCCUUCGGGGUACUCGAGUGGCGAACGGGUGAGUAACACGUGGGUGAUCUGCCCUGCACUUUGGGAUAAGCCUGAGAAACUGGGUCUAAUACCGAAUAGGACCACGCGCUUCAUGGUGUGUGGUGGAAAGCUUUUGCGGUGUGGGAUGGGCCCGCGGCCUAUCAGCUUGUUGGUGGGGUAAUGGCCUACCAAGGCGACGACGGGUAGGCGGCCUGAGAGGGUGACCGGCCACACUGGGACUGAGAUACGGCCCAGACUCCUACGGGAGGCAGCAGUGGGGAAUAUUGCACAAUGGGCGCAAGCCUGAUGCAGCGACGCCGCGUGAGGGAUGACGGCCUUCGGGUUGUAAACCUCUUUCACCAGGGACGAAGCGUAAGUGACGGUACCUGGAGAAGAAGCACCGGCCAACUACGUG
RNAcentral lists this ribosomal RNA (462 nucleotides) under uncultured bacterium. RNAcentral's name for it is "partial 16S ribosomal RNA". It matches the Rfam family "Bacterial small subunit ribosomal RNA", at positions 28 to 507 of the family's 1533-position model. The record is from RNAcentral.